UCAGGCCUAACACAUGCAAGUCGAACGGCAGCACGGACUUCGGUCUGGUGGCGAGUGGCGAACGGGUGUGUAAUACAUCGGAACGUGCCCAGUCGUGGGGGAUAACGUAGCGAAAGCUACGCUAAUACCGCAUACGAUCUACGGAUGAAAGCGGGGGAUCGCAAGACCUCGCGCGAUUGGAGCGGACGAUGGCAGAUUAGGUAGUUGGUGGGGUAAAGGCUCACCAAGCCGACGAUCUGUAGCUGGUCUGAGAGGAUGAUCAGCCACACUGGGACUGAGACACGGCCCAGACUCCUACGGGAGGCAGCAGUGGGGAAUUUUGGACAAUGGGCGCAAGCCUGAUCCAGCCAUUCCGCGUGCAGGAUGAAGGCCUUCGGGUUGUAAACUGCUUUUGUACGGAACGAAAAGGCUCUGGUUAAUACCGGG
RNAcentral lists this ribosomal RNA (426 nucleotides) under uncultured bacterium. RNAcentral describes it as "bacterial SSU rRNA". It matches the Rfam family "Bacterial small subunit ribosomal RNA", at positions 42 to 470 of the family's 1533-position model. The record is from RNAcentral.